UACGGGGGGAGCAAGCGUUGUUCGGAUUUACUGGGCGUAAAGGGCGCGUAGGCGGCGUGACAAGUCACUUGUGAAAUCUCCGGGCUUAACUCGGAGCGGCCAAGUGAUACUGUCGUGCUAGAGUGCGGAAGGGGCUACUGGAAUUCUCGGUGUAGCGGUGAAAUGCGUAGAUAUCGAGAGGAACACCUGCGGCGAAGGCGGGUAGCUGGGCCGACACUGACGCUGAGGUGCGAAAGCGUGGGGAGCAAACAGG
RNAcentral lists this ribosomal RNA (253 nucleotides) under uncultured bacterium. Its description in RNAcentral is "partial 16S ribosomal RNA". It matches the Rfam family "Bacterial small subunit ribosomal RNA", at positions 524 to 776 of the family's 1533-position model. The record is from RNAcentral.